GACGAACGCUGGCGGCGUGCCUAAUACAUGCAAGUCGAGCGAAUCGACGGGAGCUUGCUCCCUUAGAUUAGCGGCGGACGGGUGAGUAACACGUGGGCAACCUGCCUUAUAGUUUGGGAUAACUCCGGGAAACCGGGGCUAAUACCGAAUAAUCUAUUCCCUCUCAUGUGGGAAUACUAAAAGACGGUUUCGGCUGUCGCUAUAAGAUGGGCCCGCGGCGCAUUAGCUAGUUGGUGAGGUAACGGCUCACCAAGGCAACGAUGCGUAGCCGACCUGAGAGGGUGAUCGGCCACACUGGGACUGAGACACGGCCCAGACUCCUACGGGAGGCUG
Molecule: ribosomal RNA, 333 nt
Filed under: uncultured Bacillota bacterium
Lineage: Bacteria; Bacillati; Bacillota
Description: bacterial SSU rRNA
Rfam family: Bacterial small subunit ribosomal RNA
Source: RNAcentral